Molecule: ribosomal RNA, 503 nt
Filed under: uncultured bacterium
Lineage: Bacteria
Description: partial 16S ribosomal RNA
Rfam family: Bacterial small subunit ribosomal RNA
Source: RNAcentral
AUUGAACGCUGGCGGCAGGCUUAACACAUGCAAGUCGAGCGGAGUGAUGGUGCUUGCACUAUCACUUAGCGGCGGACGGGUGAGUAAUGCUUAGGAAUCUGCCUAUUAGUGGGGGACAACAUCUCGAAAGGGGUGCUAAUACCGCAUACGUCCUACGGGAGAAAGCAGGGGAUCACUUGUGACCUUGCGCUAAUAGAUGAGCCUAAGUCGGAUUAGCUAGUUGGUGGGGUAGAGGCCUACCAAGGCGACGAUCUGUAGCGGGUCUGAGAGGAUGAUCCGCCACACUGGGACUGAGACACGGCCCAGACUCCUACGGGAGGCAGCAGUGGGGAAUAUUGGACAAUGGGGGGAACCCUGAUCCAGCCAUGCCGCGUGUGUGAAGAAGGCCUUAUGGUUGUAAAGCACUUUAAGCGAGGAGGAGGCUCUUUUGGUUAAUACCCAAGAUGAGUGGACGUUACUCGCAGAAUAAGCACCGGCUAACUCUGUGCCAGCCGCCGCAGUAA